AUGCCUCAACAUGAAAAGAAACUUCUCCAUAGAAUUGAAAAAAUAUAAAAUAAUAUUAAUAUAUAUAAAAAAAAUAAACAUGAUAUUUGGGGAAAAAGUUCAAAGAUGCUUUAAGUUCAAAAUUCAAAUACAUUCAAGUUCAAAUAAUUGCAAUUCUCUAGUAAUCUAAUCUGAAUAAUUCGAAAACUUAUCCAUAUGGUACCUAUCCGAGAGUGUAACAAAAGCUUUGCAGUUAACUUGUUUGGCCUUUGACGCUGAUUAAUGGCCAAAUGGAGAAGUUUGGCAGGAAAAAAUGGCUAAAAUAAAAACUGCAGAAAAGCCCAAAUAAAAAUAUGGCAUUUCUAAUUUAACAACUGCGCUUCAAAUAAAAAUUGCGUUUUUUGCCGACUGCUGCUAUUUAA
Molecule: non-coding RNA, 401 nt
Organism: Drosophila virilis
Lineage: Eukaryota; Metazoa; Arthropoda; Insecta; Diptera; Drosophilidae
Source: RefSeq, a predicted model, not a curated record